UGGGGAAUAUUGCACAAUGGGCGGAAGCCUGAUGCAGCGACGCCGCGUGAGGGAUGACGGCCUUCGGGUUGUAAACCUCUUUAGUAGGGAAGAAGCGUAAGUGACGGUACCUGCAGAAAAAGCACCGGCUAACUACGUGCCAG
RNAcentral lists this ribosomal RNA (143 nucleotides) under uncultured bacterium. RNAcentral's name for it is "partial 16S rRNA". It matches the Rfam family "Bacterial small subunit ribosomal RNA", at positions 355 to 511 of the family's 1533-position model. The record is from RNAcentral.